This 513-nucleotide ribosomal RNA is filed under the name uncultured bacterium. RNAcentral's name for it is "partial 16S ribosomal RNA". It matches the Rfam family "Bacterial small subunit ribosomal RNA", at positions 28 to 523 of the family's 1533-position model. The record is from RNAcentral.
GACGAACGCUGGCGGCGUGCCUAAUACAUGCAAGUAGAACGCUGAAGAGAGGAGCUUGCUCUUCUUGGAAGAGUUGCGAACGGGUGAGUAACGCGUAGGUAACCUGCCUUGUAGCGGGGGAUAACUAUUGGAAACGAUAGCUAAUACCGCAUAACAAUGGAUGACCCAUGUCAUUUAUUUGAAUGGGGCAACUGCUCCACUACAAGAUGGACCUGGGUUGUAUUAGCUAGUAGGUGAGGUAACGGCUCACCUAGGCGACGAUACAUAGCCGACCUGAGAGGGUGAUCGGCCACACUGGGACUGAGACACGGCCCAGACUCCUACGGGAGGCAGCAGUAGGGAAUCUUCGGCAAUGGGGGCAACCCUGACCGAGCAACGCCGCGUGAGUGAAGAAGGUUUUCGGAUCGUAAAGCUCUGUUGUAAGUCAAGAACGAGUGUGAGAGUGGAAAGUUCACACUGUGACGGUAGCUUACCAGAAAGGGACGGCUAACUACGUGCCAGCAGCCGCCGUAA